UACGUAGGUGGCACGCGUUGUCCGGAUUUGCUGGGCGUAAAGAGCGCGCAGGCGGUCGUUCAAGGCUCGUGUGAAAGCCCCCGGCUCAACUGGGGAGGGUCACGCGAUACUGAUCGACUCGAAGGCAGGAGAGGGUAGUGGAAUUCCCGGUGUAGUGGUGAAAUGCGUAGAUAUCGGGAGGAACACCAGUGGCGAAGGCGACUACCUGGCCUGUUCUUGACGCUGAGGCGCGAAAGCUAGGGGAGCAAACGGG
Molecule: ribosomal RNA, 253 nt
Filed under: uncultured bacterium
Lineage: Bacteria
Description: partial 16S ribosomal RNA
Rfam family: Bacterial small subunit ribosomal RNA
Source: RNAcentral